UUUGAGAGGUUGAAGCUGCCAGCAUGAUCUGGUAAAUCACAUACUUUUUUUUUUCUCACCUCUCAUGCCUAAUUUUUAAGCACCAGUCAUUAGAGAAAAUAAUGGUGAAAAAUCCAUCUAUUCAAUUUUUUUUUUCAAAUUCAAGGUUUCCAGUAUGUAUCACUAAUGGUGAAAAAAGUGAUGGAAUUUUGUAGAACAUGGGUUAAAUUUACUUUUUUUUUUUUUGAGUUUUCAUUUUCUUCAAGUUUCUGAGCCAAGAAAUAAAAGAGACUUAUAAAUUGGAAUUAAUACUUAAAGGAAACCCACCAGAAGGGCAAUUUGGUUAUCAUAAGAUGUGGUUUCCAUCAGGUCAUCUUGCAGCUUCAAUCACUCAAU
This 375-nucleotide microRNA precursor is filed under the name Glycine max (soybean). Its description in RNAcentral is "miR167c stem-loop (gma-MIR167c)". Its record names the gene gma-MIR167c. Lineage: Eukaryota; Viridiplantae; Streptophyta; Magnoliopsida; Fabales; Fabaceae. The record is from miRBase by way of RNAcentral.